Molecule: ribosomal RNA, 497 nt
Filed under: uncultured bacterium
Lineage: Bacteria
Description: partial 16S ribosomal RNA
Rfam family: Bacterial small subunit ribosomal RNA
Source: RNAcentral
GAUGAACGCUGGCGGCGUGCCUAAUACAUGCAAGUCGAGCGAACAGAUGAGGAGCUUGCUCGUCUGACGUUAGGGGCAGACGGGUGUGAAACGCGUGUAUAACCUACCUAUCAGACUGAGAACAUUUCGGGAAACCGGAGCUUAUACCAUAUAAUCUAUUGAACCGCAGGGGUCAAUAGUAAAAGUCGGUUUUGCGGUCACGUAUAGCUGGAUCCGGGCCGUAUUAGCUGGUUGGUAAGGUAACGGCUUACCAAGGCAACGAUGCGUAGCCGACGUGUUAGGGUGGUAGGCCGCACUGGAGCGGAGCCACGGUCCUGACGCCUACGGGAGGCAGCAGUAGGGAAUCGUCCGCAAUGGUCGAAAGCAUGACGGAGCGACGCCGCGUGUGUGAUGAAGGUCUUCGGAUCGUAAAACUGUGUUAUUAGGUAAGAACAAAUGUGUAAGUAACUAUGCACGUCUUGACGGUACCUAAUCAGAAAGCCACGGCUAACUACGUG